CGCCAGUUAACAUCUCUCUUCACUUUUCUCAGUAUCACUUCUCAACAGAAAUGGCGGUCUCGAAGGCAACUUCAUCAGUCCUUGCUGUAAUUGUCGUUGUUUGUUUUCUCAUCGGAACUACAAUAGCUGCCGACGCACCUGCACCGGCACCUGCUUCUUCCGCCGGAUCUAUGUCUCCGUCAUUCGCCGCUGGCUGUGCUGUCACUGUUUUCGCUUUCCUCUUCGGAUCUGCACUCAGGAUCUGAAGUUUUUGAAGAGUAGAGAGUGAGAUGAGUUUGUCUCAAUUUUCUACUGCUUAUUCAUUGUUUGCAUUUCAGAUUUCUUCGUGUUUUCUGGUGUAUAUGAAUAUAUGAUAUGUUACUAGGAACUGCUUCGUGUAUGUAUAGUCUAUGCAUUUCUUCUGUUCUAUGGAUUAUUUCUGCGUUUUCCAGAGUAGCUUUUUUGAUAUAUGAUAUUUUGGACGGCCCUAUGUAUUGAG
This 478-nucleotide unclassified non-coding RNA is filed under the name Hevea brasiliensis (rubber tree). Lineage: Eukaryota; Viridiplantae; Streptophyta; Magnoliopsida; Malpighiales; Euphorbiaceae. The record is from RNAcentral.